AACCCCGACGCGCUCAAUUCAGUAGCACUAAAGGGUGUGGGCGCGUGGCGGACGAGUGCGUAACACGUGGAUAACCUUCCUUGAGGUGGGGAAUAACCCAGUGAAAAUUGGGCUAAUACCGCAUAACAUCGCGAUGGCACAUGCUGCUGCGAUCAAAGGCGCAAGUCGCCAUAAGAGGGAUCCGCGGCCGAUUAGCUUGUUGGCGAGGUAAUGGCUCACCAAGGCAAUGAUCGGUAGCCGGACUGAGAGGUUGGCCGGCCACACUGGAACUGAGACACGGUCCAGACUCCUACGGGAGGCAGCAGUGGGGAAUCUUGCACAAUGGACGAAAGUCUGAUGCAGCAACGCCGCGUGGGGGAUGAAGCUUCUCGGAGUGUAAACCCCUUUCGACCCGGAAGAAUGCCCGCAAGGGUAUGACGGUACGGGUAUAAGAAGCCCCGGCUAACUACGUGCCAGCAGCCGCGGUAAUACGUAGGGGGCCAGCGUUGCUCGGAAUUACUGGGCGUAAAGGGUCCGUAGGCGGUGUAGCAAGUCGAUAGUGAAAUCUCUGGGCUUAACCCAGAGGCUGCUAACGAAACUGCUGUGCUAGAGUGUGAGAGAGGCGAGUGGAAUUACGGGUGUAGCGGUGAAAUGCGUAGAUAUCCGUAGGAACAUCCGAGGCGAAGGCGGCUCGCUGGAUCACAACUGACGCUGAGGGACGAAAGCUAGGGGAGCAAACAGGAUUAGAUACCCUGGUAGUCCUAGCCCUAAACCAUCAGGACUUGGGGUUUGCCCUGUACGGGGCAAGUCCCGUAGCUAACGCGUUAAGUCCUGCGCCUGGGGAGUACGGUCGCAAGGCUGAAACUCAAAGGAAUUGACGGGGGCCCCGCACAAAGCGGUGGAACAUGUGGUUCAAUUCGACGCAACGC
Molecule: ribosomal RNA, 908 nt
Filed under: uncultured soil bacterium
Lineage: Bacteria
Description: bacterial SSU rRNA
Rfam family: Bacterial small subunit ribosomal RNA
Source: RNAcentral